UACAGAGGGCGCGCGCGGUUGGGGGGCGGCGGUUGGGCGGCCGCUCGGCUUGGCGGGAGCGGGACAGGGACAUGGGGACAUCAGGCCUUCGCCUCUGGCGGCGGGUCCGGGUCUGAUCCAAGCCGGGGCUUUCUUCCACUCUCACACUUCGGCCUGUGGACUGUCAUCAGCACAUCUCCAGGCAGGUGAUGAUACAAUCAUUCCUUUUGGCAUUGUGGUUGAAUAAAAAUGUCCCCAAUCUCAUUGUUUUAUUAAUUGAACAUGUAGAUGAACAUCCUCAAGGAGUGUAAUCAGAUGGAAACUGAUUAAGAUGCGAUAUUUAAGAGCUUGUUCAAAGAAGGGGCAUAUUUUGGCUGAUCACCAACGGUGAUGAAAUAAAAUACAGGGCAGAGGUGCAGAACCUGGCGAACUGGUGCACACGUAACAACUUGUCACUAAACACCUCCAAGACCAAGGAGCUGAUUAUUGACUUCAGGAGGUCCCACAAUGGAGAAUACGCCCCAAUCGCCAUUUACGGGGAAAGUGUGGAGAGAGUGUCCAGCUUUAAGUUUCUGGGCACUCACAUUUCAGAGGACCUCACAUCGUCCACCAACAACGCUGCGCUGGUCAAGAAGGCACAGCAACGACUGUUCUUCCUGAGGACAUUAAAAAAGACUGGUCUGCCCCAACAGCUGCUGACAACGUUCUACCGCUGCACCACAGAUGCAUAUUAACGUAUGGCAUCUCUGUGUGGUAUCUCAGCUGCACGGAGGCGGAGAGGAGAGCCCUGUAACGGACUGUUUGAACUACUUCCCUCCGGCAGACGUUACAAGGCCUUCUAUGCCCGAACCUCCAGACUCAGAAACAGCUUUAUUCCAAGAGCUAUAGUGGCUCUGAACCGGCCCUGCUGAGUGCCCCCCACCCCCCAUGAACUGUCUCCCUCGGAUGGUCACGACACACAGCUUAUUUAUUUAUUUUACUUUUCUUUUUCAUCAGUUGGAGCUGCAUACUAAAUCUUGUUGCACUAACGUGCAAUGACAAUAAAAUAUAUUAUUAUUAUUAUUAUUAUUAAAAGAGUGACAGAGAUACGUGCAGGGGAAUGUGUGAGGAGAUUAUUAUUUUUCUUUAGUUUUUGCUUGAACCAGGACAUCUGAAGAUUCAAAGUUUAAUAUAGUCAUUGUGCUGAUACUGACCCCAACCAACCACGUAAUGAAUCCAUUUCGGAGAUUUUACUUUUAUGAUGCCAUUUAAACUUCACUUGGAUUUCAAUCACUUCAAUGUAAAAGUAAUUGGGAAUGGGGAGCAUUGGAACAAAAAUUUGCCCUCGCUACAUAUUAACUGUAAUAUAAUAGUGUAUGCAUGUUGGUAGGUGCAAUCAAAAUAAAGAUAUUUUUAUCAUUGUUGUGUUAUGAAUACCACAGAAAAUAUUAUGUACUCUCAAGAUCACAUUUAAUAGAAUAAUAUUGCUCAAAUAUAUAGUUAUUAGACUUUGCAUUUUGGAUAAGUCCCAGCUGAGAGGAAGACAGCUAAAUACUGAAAAUAUUGCGAGUGAAAAUGACUUCAGGGCAGUUUGUUCGGAAAAUGAAAGAAAUGGUAGCAGAAUACUUAUACAGCUGAGUAAGUAUAAUUUUAUGGAUGAGAAAUUGUGUUCAACCAAUUGAUGACUUAUUUGAGAAAGUAACUAGCAUGUUAGAUAACAAGGAAGCCAAUGGAUGUAGCAAAUUUUGUUCUACAUAAUUUGGUCUGUGAAGUGCCCCAUAAAAGAUUAACGCAUUGGAUAAGCACCUGUGGACUUGAACAUAAUAGGUUAAGUCCAGGGGGUCAGAUAUGGGGCUUUAUGUGUGGGCCAGAUAUAUUGUCAGUGCAGAAUGGCUGGGAGCAAGGCCAAGUGUGCAUCCAUAGUCAAGGUCUGGAAUAGUACUAGGUGUGCAGUCAAAGCUGGGACCAGGGGAGUGUUCAGCACUGGGAACCUAAGCAGGUAAGCAGCUAUGAUCAGGGUAAAAAUGGGGGGCCAGGUGGACUCGGUCAGGAAUGAGAGAAGGUAUGCAACUGGAGUCAGGGUCAGGAGUAGCACCAGGUGUGCAGUGAGACCCAGGUUGGUUAACAUGUGUCUGAUUAUAAUUUGAUUUCCAUACAUGACUAUACUAAGGUCAUUCAUGUGCUGCACAUGUUGAUGAGAGCCUGGGCUCUACAGUGGAAUGUAAUUAGGAAUGCAAUUUAGUCUAACCUUAUUCAUAGCGAAUCCGAUUUAAAGCAUAUAUAUUGCAUUCAAGUGUAAGUUAAAAGACUCGCUACAGUAUGCACCAUAUUGCACAAUUUCAAGUUGAAAAAUGCAAAUGUUCCAUACCA
Long non-coding RNA from Leucoraja erinaceus (little skate), 2328 nucleotides. RefSeq lists it as uncharacterized. The transcript has 3 exons. The record is from RefSeq and is a predicted model, not a curated record. Lineage: Eukaryota; Metazoa; Chordata; Chondrichthyes; Rajiformes; Rajidae.